Molecule: ribosomal RNA, 492 nt
Filed under: uncultured bacterium
Lineage: Bacteria
Description: partial 16S ribosomal RNA
Rfam family: Bacterial small subunit ribosomal RNA
Source: RNAcentral
AUUGAACGCUGGCGGCAUGCUUUACACAUGCAAGUCGAACGGUAACAGGCCUUCGGGUGCUGACGAGUGGCGAACGGGUGAGUAAUGCAUCGGAACGUGCCCAGAGGUGGGGGAUAACGCAGCGAAAGCUGUGCUAAUACCGCAUGUGAUCUGAGGAUGAAAGCGGGGGACCAGGCAGCAAUGUUUGGCCUCGCGCCUUUGGAGCGGCCGAUGUCAGAUUAGGUAGUUGGUGGGGUAAAGGCCUACCAAGCCGACGAUCCGUAGCUGGUCUGAGAGGACGACCAGCCACACUGGGACUGAGACACGGCCCAGACUCCUACGGGAGGCAGCAGUGGGGAAUUUUGGACAAUGGGCGCAAGCCUGAUCCAGCAAUGCCGCGUGCGGGAAGAAGGCCUUCGGGUUGUAAACCGCUUUUGUACGGAACGAAAAGGCUCUGGCUAAUACCUGGGGCUGAUGACGGUACCGUAAGAAUAAGCACCGGCUAACUACGUG